This 494-nucleotide ribosomal RNA is filed under the name uncultured bacterium. Its description in RNAcentral is "partial 16S ribosomal RNA". It matches the Rfam family "Bacterial small subunit ribosomal RNA", at positions 28 to 507 of the family's 1533-position model. The record is from RNAcentral.
GACGAACGCUGGCGGCGCGCUUAACGCAUGCAAGUCGAACGGAAAGGCCUGCUUUCCCUUGUGGAUUGCGGGUACUCGAGUGGCGAACGGGUGAGUAACACGUGAGUGAUCUGCCCCCAACUUGGGUAUAAGCCUGGGAAACUGGGUCUAAUUCCCGAUAGGACUGCAGGGUGGUGCCUGUGGUGGAAAACGAUUUUCUAGUGGUUGGGGAUGAGCUCGCGGCCUAUCAGCUUGUUGGUGGGGUAAUGGCCUACCAAGGCGGCGACGGGUAGCCGGCCUGGGAGGGGGGACGGCCACAUUGGGACUGAGAUACGGCCCAGACUCCUACGGGAGGCAGCAGUGGGGAAUAAUGCACAAUGGGCGGAAGCCUGAUGCAGCGACGCCGCGUGGGGGAUGACGGCCUUCGGGUUGUAAACUCCUUUCGACCGCGAGGAAGCCACCUGGUUGGAAGGGUGGUGACGGUAGUGGUAGAAGAAGCACCGGCUAACUACGUG